GGAUGCGAUCAUACCAGCACUAAAGCACCGGAUCCCUUCAGAACUCCGAAGUUAAGCUUGCUUGGGCGAGAGUAGUACUAGGAUGGGCGACCUCCUGGGAAGUCCUCGUGUUGUAUGCC
Molecule: ribosomal RNA, 119 nt
Filed under: Triticum aestivum (bread wheat)
Lineage: Eukaryota; Viridiplantae; Streptophyta; Magnoliopsida; Poales; Poaceae
Source: RNAcentral